This 240-nucleotide unclassified non-coding RNA is filed under the name Hevea brasiliensis (rubber tree). The record is from RNAcentral. Lineage: Eukaryota; Viridiplantae; Streptophyta; Magnoliopsida; Malpighiales; Euphorbiaceae.
GGUGGGUGCAAGUUGGUUACGAUUCCUCCCCCAUUCAACCCAAAUUGGACUUGAACCAGAAACACUGGUCCGGUCCAUCAGAACCUUGUAUUUUUUCUUCAAAAGAAUUCAAAAAAUUGUUUCAAUCAUUGGAUUGCCUCAACCUGGAUCUUAAUGGAACCAAAAUCAAAACUACUCUCGAACUGGCCUGAAACUAUGGGGAAUUGGCUUCCCUUGGUCCAGUUUAGGUGCCCCCCCCCC